AACGAACGCUGGCGGCGUGCUUAACACAUGCAAGUCGAACGCGAAAGGGAUUUCGGUUCCCGAGUAGAGUGGCGCACGGGUGAGUAACGCGUAAGUAAUCUACCCUGGUACCUGGAAUAACUCAUCGAAAGGUGUGCUAAUGCCGGAUACGCUGGAGUCAGGAAAGGAGGCCUCUGCAUAUGCUUCCGUACUGGGAUGAGCUUGCGUACCAUUAGCUAGUUGGUAGGGUAAUGGCCUACCAAGGCAACGAUGGUUAGCGGGUCUGAGAGGAUGACCCGCCACACUGGAACUGGAACACGGACCAAACUCCUACGAGAGGCAGCAGUGAGGAAUAUUGCGCAAUGGGGGCAACCCUGACGCAGCGACGCCGCGUGGAUGAUGAAGGCCUUCGGGUCGUAAAAUCCUGUCAGAUGGAAAGAACGGCCUUUGUGCUAAUAUCACAGAGGAAUGACGGUACCAUCAAAGGAAGCACCGGCUAACUCCGUGCCAGCCGCCGCAGUAA
RNAcentral lists this ribosomal RNA (502 nucleotides) under uncultured bacterium. RNAcentral describes it as "partial 16S ribosomal RNA". It matches the Rfam family "Bacterial small subunit ribosomal RNA", at positions 29 to 523 of the family's 1533-position model. The record is from RNAcentral.